RNAcentral lists this ribosomal RNA (1441 nucleotides) under uncultured organism. RNAcentral's name for it is "16S ribosomal RNA". It matches the Rfam family "Bacterial small subunit ribosomal RNA". The record is from RNAcentral.
UGAACGCUAGCUACAGGCUUAACACAUGCAAGUCGAGGGGCAGCAUUUCAGUUUGCUUGCAAACUGGAGAUGGCGACCGGCGCACGGGUGAGUAACACGUAUCCAACCUGCCGAUAACUCGGGGAUAGCCUUUCGAAAGAAAGAUUAAUACCCGAUGGUAUAAUCAGACCACAUGGUUUGAUUAUUAAAGAAUUUCGGUUAUCGAUGGGGAUGCGUUCCAUUAGGCAGUUGGUGAGGUAACGGCUCACCAAACCUUCGAUGGAUAGGGGUUCUGAGAGGAAGGUCCCCCACAUUGGAACUGAGACACGGUCCAAACUCCUACGGGAGGCAGCAGUGAGGAAUAUUGGUCAAUGGGCGCAGGCCUGAACCAGCCAAGUAGCGUGAAGGAUGACUGCCCUAUGGGUUGUAAACUUCUUUUAUAUGGGAAUAAAGUUUUCCACGUGUGGAAUUUUGUAUGUACCAUAUGAAUAAGGAUCGGCUAACUCCGUGCCAGCAGCCGCGGUAAUACGGAGGAUCCGAGCGUUAUCCGGAUUUAUUGGGUUUAAAGGGAGCGUAGGUGGACAGUUAAGUCAGUUGUGAAAGUUUGCGGCUCAACCGUAAAAUUGCAGUUGAUACUGGCUGUCUUGAGUACAGUAGAGGUGGGCGGAAUUCGUGGUGUAGCGGUGAAAUGCUUAGAUAUCACGAAGAACUCCGAUUGCGAAGGCAGCUCACUGGACUGCAACUGACACUGAUGCUCGAAAGUGUGGGUAUCAAACAGGAUUAGAUACCCUGGUAGUCCACACAGUAAACGAUGAAUACUCGCUGUUUGCGAUAUACAGUAAGCGGCCAAGCGAAAGCAUUAAGUAUUCCACCUGGGGAGUACGCCGGCAACGGUGAAACUCAAAGGAAUUGACGGGGGCCCGCACAAGCGGAGGAACAUGUGGUUUAAUUCGAUGAUACGCGAGGAACCUUACCCGGGCUUAAAUUGCAUUUGAAUAAUCUGGAAACAGGUUAGCCGCAAGGCAAAUGUGAAGGUGCUGCAUGGUUGUCGUCAGCUCGUGCCGUGAGGUGUCGGCUUAAGUGCCAUAACGAGCGCAACCCUUAUCUUUAGUUACUAACAGGUCAUGCUGAGGACUCUAGAGAGACUGCCGUCGUAAGAUGUGAGGAAGGUGGGGAUGACGUCAAAUCAGCACGGCCCUUACGUCCGGGGCUACACACGUGUUACAAUGGGGGGUACAGAAGGCAGCUACCUGGUGACAGGAUGCUAAUCCCAAAAGCCUCUCUCAGUUCGGAUCGAAGUCUGCAACCCGACUUCGUGAAGCUGGAUUCGCUAGUAAUCGCGCAUCGGCCAUGGCGCGGUGAAUACGUUCCCGGGCCUUGUACACACCGCCCGUCAAGCCAUGAAAGCCGGGGGUACCUGAAGUACGUAACCGCAAGGAGCGUCCUAGGGUAAAACUGGUAA